AGCGAACGUUAAGCGGCGGGCUUAACACAUGCAAGUCGAGCGAGAAAGGGGGCUUCGGCCCCGAGUACAGCGCGGACGGGUGAAUAACACGUAGGUAACCUUCCUUCCAGCGGGGGACAACGGUCCGAAAGGACCGCUAAUACCGCAUACGUUGCUCCGGGGACCUCGGUCCUGGGGGAGGAAAGCCUCGCAAGGGGCACUGGAUGAGGGGCCUGCGUAGCAUCAGCUAGUUGGUGGGGUAAUGGCCUACCAAGGCGAAGACGCUUAGCUGGUCUGAGAGGAUGAUCAGCCACACUGGGACUGAGACACGGCCCAGACUCCUACGGGAGGCAGCAGUGGGGAAUAUUGGACAAUGGGCGAAAGCCUGAUCCAGCCACGCCGCGUGAGUGAUGAAGGCCUUCGGGUCGUAAAGCUCUGUGGGGAGGGACGAAUAACGCAGUGAAGAACUGCGCUUGACGGUACCUCCUUAGCAAGCACCGGCUAACUUCGUGCCAGCAGCCGCGGUAA
This 507-nucleotide ribosomal RNA is filed under the name uncultured delta proteobacterium. Its description in RNAcentral is "bacterial SSU rRNA". It matches the Rfam family "Bacterial small subunit ribosomal RNA", at positions 29 to 523 of the family's 1533-position model. The record is from RNAcentral. Lineage: Bacteria; Deltaproteobacteria.